Molecule: non-coding RNA, 53 nt
Filed under: Plasmodium falciparum 3D7
Lineage: Eukaryota; Apicomplexa; Aconoidasida; Haemosporida; Plasmodiidae
Source: RNAcentral
CACGUGGAUCACCAUGAUGAUGAUCUAUAUGGUGAUAAAAUCCUUUCGUAUGU